UGGAUCUGGUGCUGGUGCUUCACUACAAAGUACUGGAAUUUUGUGGCCACUGCUAAUGAUAAUAUCAUUCUUUCUGCAAGCUGCUGAUACAGUAUUGAAGGAAAUAAUAUUUAUAGAUGCUGCCAAGAAUUUGAAGGGUGGCUCAGUUGAUCUUUUUGUCAUCAACUCGUAUGGCUCUGCUUAUCAAGUAUGGUCCUGAUUUCGACUACUAU
Hordeum vulgare subsp. vulgare (domesticated barley) is the source of this 212-nucleotide long non-coding RNA. RefSeq lists it as uncharacterized. Lineage: Eukaryota; Viridiplantae; Streptophyta; Magnoliopsida; Poales; Poaceae. The record is from RefSeq and is a predicted model, not a curated record. The transcript has 3 exons.